CCCUUAGAUGUUCUGGGCCGCACGCGCGCUACACUGACUGGUGCAACAAGUGUCGCUCCUUGGCCGAUAGGCCUGGGCAAUCUUUGAACGCCAGUCGUGAUGGGGAUAGAUUCUUGCAAUUUUUGAUCUUCAACGAGGAAUUCCUAGUAAACGCGAGUCAUCAACUCGCAUUGAUUACGUCCCUGCCCUUUGUACACACCGCCCGUCGCACCUACCGAUUGAGUGAUCCGGUGAAUAAUUCGGACUGCAGCACUGCUUGGUCUCCAGGCUUUGCAGCGGAAAGUUUAGUGAACCUUAUCACUUAGAGGAAGGAGAAGUCGUAACA
Molecule: ribosomal RNA, 325 nt
Filed under: uncultured eukaryote
Lineage: Eukaryota
Description: partial 18S ribosomal RNA
Rfam family: Eukaryotic small subunit ribosomal RNA
Source: RNAcentral